UAGGGGUCAAAGAUUUAUCGGUGUAAGAAGGGCUCGCGUCUGAUUAGCUAGUUGGAAGGGUAAAGGCCUACCAAGGCGACGAUCAGUAGCCGGUCUGAGAGGAUGAACGGCCACAUUGGAACUGAGACACGGUCCAAACUCCUACGGGAGGCAGCAGUGGGGAAUAUUGCACAAUGGGGGGAACCCUGAUGCAGCGAC
Molecule: ribosomal RNA, 198 nt
Filed under: Parvimonas micra
Lineage: Bacteria; Bacillati; Bacillota; Tissierellia; Tissierellales; Peptoniphilaceae
Description: partial 16S ribosomal RNA
Rfam family: Bacterial small subunit ribosomal RNA
Source: RNAcentral